This 1293-nucleotide long non-coding RNA is filed under the name Oryctolagus cuniculus (rabbit). Its description in RNAcentral is "lncRNA (ENSOCUG00000032340.1)". Lineage: Eukaryota; Metazoa; Chordata; Mammalia; Lagomorpha; Leporidae. The record is from RNAcentral.
GCAUACCGGAGAUCAACACUGGCCCUCUAUCCAAGCCUGGAGCCAAGACAGCUGUCACCCACUUUUUUGACACUGCCUGGCCACUUCCGGUGCCGCUGGGAGGAAGAGGCGGGUCCUAGAUGGAUGGCGCUUGUGCAGUCAGUCUGGUGGAUAUAGAGCCGACGGUGGCAGCAUGUUGUCGGCUGCUAGAGUUGUCGGCUUCCGGCGGCGUUUUCGGCAGCGGUACUGGCCUGGAGAGUGCGGGAACGAAGACAUUUUCAUGGAUAUGAAACUGGAUGCAGUUGAAGUUCAUCUGCUGGGUAAUCUUCCAUUUCUGGGGACUGCUUGACUUCCUGCUAAACACAGCUGGGACUUCUUCCUGGAGAGGAGCAACUGCUCCAUGCCAAUGUGUGUCCUGUGGCCAGUGAGGAGUGCGCCUGUGCCUGGCGCUUUGACCCAGAAGUGCACCCGCAGGCGCCGCCACUUCUGCCCUCGAUGCACUGGUGGGAGUCAGCGCCGUGUCCGCUCCUGCCCAGAGCCUUGAGGAGCCGCCUUCAACGCUGGUGGCUGAACCUGAGGAGACCCAGGGCCCUGCAGACUCAGGCUGGGAUCAGACUGCACACACAGAGGAGAAAGCAGAAGCUUAGAGAAAUGCCAAGAAUCCCUCAGUGCCCUGUUCCAGCCUGCCCCAAGAUUCUGACACCUCACAGCACAGUCCUCUUCUUUGGCCCCUCUGAAAGACUACACCUCAGGUCUGGAUUCCUGUGUCAGAGGAACAGAAAGGCUCUUUCUGUGGAGAGUUUGGCAUGGUGGCCUUCCUGUCACUGGGCUGCACACACGAAGGAGAAAGCAGAAGCUUAGAGAAAUGCCAAGAAUCCCUCUGUGCUGUGUUCCAGGCUGUCCCAAGAUUCUGACACCUCAUAGUAAGUACUAGAUAUUUUUUUCUAUUUAAAUACUGGUUUGAAAGGCAGAAUUAUAGAUGAGGAGGUGUGGGAGAGAUCUUCGUGUAUGGGUUCACCCCCCAGGUGACUACAUUACCAGGGCUGGGCCAGGCGGGAGCAGAAGCCAGGUACUUUAUCCAGUACUCCAGAGUGGGUUCAGGGGCCCAAGUUCUUGGGGUGCAUCCUCUGCUUUCCUAGGCAUUUCAGCAUACAUCUGGAUCACAAGUGGGAACAGCCUGCGGGUGGGGGUGGGGUGGCCGACAGAACAGUGGCAUAGUGGAUGAAGCUGCCGCCUGUAGUACCAGCAUCCCAUAUGGGUGUCUUCCUUCUCUAUGAUACUUUUCUUCUCAUUCCCCCAGCAAACUAAGUAUCC